This 254-nucleotide ribosomal RNA is filed under the name uncultured bacterium. Its description in RNAcentral is "partial 16S ribosomal RNA". It matches the Rfam family "Bacterial small subunit ribosomal RNA", at positions 524 to 776 of the family's 1533-position model. The record is from RNAcentral.
CACGUAGGGUGCGAGCGUUGUCCGGAAUUAUUGGGCGUAAAGAGCUCGUAGGCGGUGUGUCGCGUCGGCCGUGAAAACCUGCAGCUUAACUGUGGGCGUGCGGUCGAUACGGGCAUCACUGGAGUUCGGCAGGGGAGACUGGAAUUCAUGGUGUAGCAGUGAAAUGCGUAGAGAUCAUGAGGAAGACCAGUGGCGAAGGCGGGUCUCUGGACAGUUCCUGACACUGAGACACGAAGGCCAGGGGAGCAAACGGG